Molecule: ribosomal RNA, 427 nt
Filed under: uncultured bacterium
Lineage: Bacteria
Description: partial 16S ribosomal RNA
Rfam family: Bacterial small subunit ribosomal RNA
Source: RNAcentral
UGGGGAAUAUUGGACAAUGGGCGAAAGCCUGAUCCAGCCAUGCCGCGUGUGUGAAGAAGGUCUUCGGAUUGUAAAGCACUUUAAGUUGGGAGGAAGGGCAUUAACCUAAUACGUUAGUGUUUUGACGUUACCGACAGAAUAAGCACCGGCUAACUCUGUGCCAGCAGCCGCGGUAAUACAGAGGGUGCAAGCGUUAAUCGGAAUUACUGGGCGUAAAGCGCGCGUAGGUGGUUUGUUAAGUUGGAUGUGAAAUCCCCGGGCUCAACCGGGGAACUGCAUUCAAAACUGACUGACUAGAGUAUGGUAGAGGGUGGUGGAAUUUCCGGUGUAGCGGUGAAAUGCGUAGAUAUAGGAAGGAACACCAGUGGCGAAGGCGACCACCUGGACUAAUACUGACACUGAGGUGCGAAAGCGUGGGGAGCAAACA